This 366-nucleotide long non-coding RNA is filed under the name Ananas comosus (pineapple). RNAcentral describes it as "long non-coding RNA (ACOM_LNC001366)". Lineage: Eukaryota; Viridiplantae; Streptophyta; Magnoliopsida; Poales; Bromeliaceae. The record is from RNAcentral.
UUUUUCGCUAUUUAUUAUUAUUUUAAAAAAACUUCAGAUAACACCCGUGUGUUUCGCAGUAUCUCACUUUAGUAUUCUAUAAUUUAAAAUAUAUCAAUUUAGUAUUUCGUAAUUUUAUCUUUCUUUUUUUAUGAUUUUCUCUACUAAUUUUUUUCAUUAAAUCAGUGAACUAAAAAAAUACUAAAGUAAAUAUUCAAUAAACUUAUAUGGGUAUCUAAAGCUUUUUAUAUAUAAUGUAACGAAAUGUUAACGAGAAGCGAACGAAAAGAAAAAAAAAAUAACAGAAUAUUAAAUUGAUAUAUUUUAAAUUAUAGAAUACUAAAACAAAAAAAUAUGAAUCUAUAGGGAUGGUAUUUGAAGUUUACC